GCCGGUCGUGGUGACGCAUGCCUGUAGUCCCAGCUACUCGGGAGGCUGAGUUGGGAGGAUCGCUUGAGCCCAGGAGUUCUGGGCUGCAGUGAGCUAUGCUGAUUGGGUGUCCACACUACGUUCGGCAUCAAUAUGGUGACCUCCCGGGAGCAGGGGACCACCAGGUUGCCUCAAGAGGGGUGAACCGGCCCAGGUGGGAAACGGAGCAGGUCAAAACUCCCGUGCUGAUCAGUAGUGGGAUCGCGCCUGUGAAUAGCCACUGCACUCCAGCCUGGGCAACAUAGCAAGACGCCAUCUCU
RNAcentral lists this signal recognition particle RNA (299 nucleotides) under Saimiri boliviensis boliviensis (Bolivian squirrel monkey). Its description in RNAcentral is "Metazoan signal recognition particle RNA (ENSSBOG00000009132.1)". It matches the Rfam family "Metazoan signal recognition particle RNA". From Rfam's summary of the family: The signal recognition particle (SRP) is a universally conserved ribonucleoprotein. It is involved in the co-translational targeting of proteins to membranes. The eukaryotic SRP consists of a 300-nucleotide 7S RNA and six proteins: SRPs 72, 68, 54, 19, 14, and 9. Lineage: Eukaryota; Metazoa; Chordata; Mammalia; Primates; Cebidae. The record is from RNAcentral.